This is a long non-coding RNA of Schistocerca gregaria, 365 nucleotides long. RefSeq lists it as uncharacterized. The transcript is spliced from 3 exons. The record is from RefSeq and is a predicted model, not a curated record. NCBI's taxonomy places the organism in Eukaryota, Metazoa, Arthropoda, Insecta, Orthoptera, Acrididae.
UUAAACAUGUCACAGCUCGGUAAGUGUCUGCUAUCGGUAGACCUGAAGAUUCAUCAAUAGCUGGACAGUCUAAUAGCGGACUGCAGCUGCAGAUUUUGGAGUGAUUAGGGCAUUGGCCACAGAGCGAAAGAAACGGUAAGCUACAGAAAGCGUGAGAAAGAAAUUGGGAGAGAGUGCAAGGAGAGAUGAAGAGAAGGCCAAGCCUGUCAGCUUUGAAAUCUGAGACACAGUUUUGAGAAAGAGUACAGAGGAAGCCAGACAAAUAAAUGGCAAAAAGAGACAUUCUGGGUGAUUUAUCAUGGUCCGUUGAAAGUGAAUGCCCACCCUACAGGAAAUUAUAAAUGCAGUGACGUCUGCUCGUAGUG